Molecule: ribosomal RNA, 253 nt
Filed under: uncultured bacterium
Lineage: Bacteria
Description: partial 16S ribosomal RNA
Rfam family: Bacterial small subunit ribosomal RNA
Source: RNAcentral
UACGUAGGGGGCAAGCGUUGUCCGGAAUCAUUGGGCGUAAAGAGCGUGUAGGCGGCCAAGCAGGUCCGCUGUGAAAACUCGAGGCUCAACCUCGAGACGUCGGUGGAAACCGUUUGGCUAGAGUCCGGAAGAGGAGAGUGGAAUUCCCGGUGUAGCGGUGAAAUGCGCAGAUAUCGGGAAGAACACCCGUGGCGAAGGCGGUUCUCUGGGACGGUACUGACGCUGAGACGCGAAAGCGUGGGGAGCGAACAGG